Molecule: ribosomal RNA, 468 nt
Filed under: uncultured bacterium
Lineage: Bacteria
Description: partial 16S ribosomal RNA
Rfam family: Bacterial small subunit ribosomal RNA
Source: RNAcentral
GACGAACGCUGGCGGCGUGCUUAACACAUGCAAGUCGAACGGAAAGGCCCUGCUUUUGUGGGGUGCUCGAGUGGCGAACGGGUGAGUAACACGUGAGUAACCUGCCCUUGACUUUGGGAUAACUUCAGGAAACUGGGGCUAAUACCGGAUAGGAGCUCCUGCUGCAUGGUGGGGGUUGGAAAGUUUCGGCGGUUGGGGAUGGACUCGCGGCUUAUCAGCUUGUUGGUGGGGUAGUGGCUUACCUAGGCCUUGACGGGUAGCCGGCCUGAGCGGGUGACCGGCCACAUUGGGACUGAGAUACGGCCCAGACUCGAACGGGAGGCAGCAGUGGAGAAGAGUGCACAAUGGGCGGAAGCCUGAUGCAGCAACGCCGCGUGCGGUAUGACGUCCUUCGGGUUGUAAACCGCUGUCGCCUGUGACGAAGCGUGAGUGACGGUAAUGGGUAAAGAAGCACCGGCUAACUACGUG